RNAcentral lists this ribosomal RNA (203 nucleotides) under uncultured Cantharellus. RNAcentral's name for it is "5.8S ribosomal RNA". It matches the Rfam family "5.8S ribosomal RNA". Rfam says of the family: 5.8S ribosomal RNA (5.8S rRNA) is a component of the large subunit of the eukaryotic ribosome. It is transcribed by RNA polymerase I as part of the 45S precursor that also contains 18S and 28S rRNA. The record is from RNAcentral. Lineage: Eukaryota; Fungi; Basidiomycota; Agaricomycetes; Cantharellales; Hydnaceae.
ACAACUUUCAGCAAUGGAUCUCUUGGUUCUCGCAUCGAUGAAGAACGCAGUGAAAUGCGAUAACUGGUGUGAAUUGCAUCCAUGUAACUCUAAUUUACGAAUAACACCAAGUGAAUCAUCGAGUCUUUGAACGCAAUUGCGCCCUCUCGGUCGCUUCCAAUUGGGGGUUGACUCAUAGGGGGUACAUCUGUUUGAGGGUCAUU